RNAcentral lists this transfer RNA (72 nucleotides) under Toxocara canis (dog roundworm). It matches the Rfam family "tRNA". From Rfam's summary of the family: Transfer RNA (tRNA) molecules are approximately 80 nucleotides in length. Their secondary structure includes four short double-helical elements and three loops (D, anti-codon, and T loops). The record is from Rfam by way of RNAcentral. Lineage: Eukaryota; Metazoa; Nematoda; Chromadorea; Rhabditida; Toxocaridae.
AAAACAGUAGCUCAGCGGUAGAGCUUCCGCUUCGUAUGCGGGUAGACUUGGGUUCGAUUCCCGGCUGCUUUC